RNAcentral lists this ribosomal RNA (492 nucleotides) under uncultured bacterium. Its description in RNAcentral is "partial 16S ribosomal RNA". It matches the Rfam family "Bacterial small subunit ribosomal RNA", at positions 29 to 507 of the family's 1533-position model. The record is from RNAcentral.
AGUGAACGCUGGCGGUAGGCCUAACACAUGCAAGUCGAACGGCAGCACAGUAAGAGCUUGCUCUUACGGGUGGCGAGUGGCGGACGGGUGAGGAAUACAUCGGAAUCUACUUUUUCGUGGGGGAUAACGUAGGGAAACUUACGCUAAUACCGCAUACGACCUACGGGUGAAAGCAGGGGAUCUUCGGACCUUGCGCGAUUGAAUGAGCCGAUGUCGGAUUAGCUAGUUGGCGGGGUAAAGGCCCACCAAGGCGACGAUCCGUAGCUGGUCUGAGAGGAUGAUCAGACACACUGGAACUGAGACACGGUCCAGACUCCUACGGGAGGCAGCAGUGGGGAAUAUUGGACAAUGGGCGAAAGCCUGAUCCAGCCAUACCGCGUGGGUGAAGAAGGACUUCGGGUUGUAAAGCCCUUUUGUUGGGAAAGAAAAGCAGCAGGUUAACACCCCGCUGUUCUGACGGUACCCAAAGAAUAAGCACCGGCUAACUUCGUG